This 377-nucleotide unclassified non-coding RNA is filed under the name uncultured Acidimicrobiia bacterium. RNAcentral describes it as "contains 16S-23S intergenic spacer region". The record is from RNAcentral. Lineage: Bacteria; Bacillati; Actinomycetota; Acidimicrobiia.
UCCGUGUUGACCACGGCAGUCUCCUACGAGUCCCCGGCAUUAUCCGCUGGCAACAUAGGACAAGGGUUGCGCUCGUUGCGGGACUUAACCCAACAUCUCACGACACGAGCUGACGACAGCCAUGCACCACCUAUCGUAGACCCUUUCGGACACCGCAUCUCUGCGGUUUUUCCUACAUAGUUCAGCCCAGGUAAGGUUCUUCGCGUUGCAUCGAAUUAAGCAACAUGCUCCGCCGCUUGUGCGGGUCCCCGUCAAUUCCUUUGAGUUUUAGCCUUGCGGCCGUACUCCCCAGGCGGGGCACUUAAUGCGUUAGCUACGGCACGGAGGGCGUUGAUAACCCCCCACACCUAGUGCCCAACGUUUAGGGCGUGGACUAC